CUGUGCUAGAUGGGGAGCUAGCGGUGCCCUGUAACCUGCAAUCCGCUACAGCAGGAUCGAUGCCCAUCAAGAGGUUUGCUCAUCUUGACGCUCGCCUGAAAAAGCGAUGUCGAUGGUUCAAGCCCUGCGCAAUGGACGAGUACCCAACCCCGUCAGGACCGGAAGGUAGCAGCGGCAAGUAUAUAAUCCGUGUGCCGCAGGAAAUCUUGGCUGGAGUUGGCUGUUCAGGCCGUGUUUUGACGGAGGAAUCGAGGAUGGGUGCACAG
This 266-nucleotide signal recognition particle RNA is filed under the name Candidatus Zhuqueibacterota bacterium. Its description in RNAcentral is "candidate division KSB1 bacterium (freshwater sediment metagenome) signal recognition particle sRNA large type". It matches the Rfam family "Bacterial large signal recognition particle RNA". Rfam says of the family: The signal recognition particle (SRP) is a universally conserved ribonucleoprotein involved in the co-translational targeting of proteins to membranes. Archaeal SRP consists of a 7S RNA and homologues of the eukaryotic SRP19 and SRP54 proteins. The record is from RNAcentral. Lineage: Bacteria; Pseudomonadati.